RNAcentral lists this ribosomal RNA (450 nucleotides) under Micrococcus luteus. RNAcentral's name for it is "bacterial SSU rRNA". It matches the Rfam family "Bacterial small subunit ribosomal RNA", at positions 928 to 1376 of the family's 1533-position model. Lineage: Bacteria; Bacillati; Actinomycetota; Actinomycetes; Micrococcales; Micrococcaceae. The record is from RNAcentral.
AGCGGCGGAGCAUGCGGAUUAAUUCGAUGCAACGCGAAGAACCUUACCAAGGCUUGACAUGUUCUCGAUCGCCGUAGAGAUACGGUUUCCCCUUUGGGGCGGGUUCACAGGUGGUGCAUGGUUGUCGUCAGCUCGUGUCGUGAGAUGUUGGGUUAAGUCCCGCAACGAGCGCAACCCUCGUUCCAUGUUGCCAGCACGUAGUGGGGGGGACUCAUGGGAGACUGCCGGGGUCAACUCGGAGGAAGGUGAGGACGACGUCAAAUCAUCAUGCCCCUUAUGUCUUGGGCUUCACGCAUGCUACAAUGGCCGGUACAAUGGGUUGCGAUACUGUGAGGUGGAGCUAAUCCCAAAAAGCCGGUCUCAGUUCGGAUUGGGGUCUGCAACUCGACCCCAUGAAGUCGGAGUCGCUAGUAAUCGCAGAUCAGCAACGCUGCGGUGAAUACGUUCCCG